This is a long non-coding RNA of Acanthaster planci (crown-of-thorns starfish), 875 nucleotides long. NCBI's taxonomy places the organism in Eukaryota, Metazoa, Echinodermata, Asteroidea, Valvatida, Acanthasteridae. The record is from RefSeq and is a predicted model, not a curated record.
UGUCAUCCACGUUACCUUGAUUGUACAUUUUACAACUUUCCACCUUUAUUUUCAAACCCUUGUCGGAGCACGAUCCGUUUUGUUAAUGAAGCAGUUGUAGGCCAGAAAGAAAGAACACUUUCUAACUGAGAAGGGUUUCCGCCUCAUCCUUUUGGCAGUCACAAUCUCACAAUGGGGGCUGGUCCGGGAAACAUUUUUAAAAACGAACCAGGAAUGUGAUAGGCCAGAAGUUGAGUAAUGCUCCUUCCCCCUGGAGAUCUAGACAACAGAAAACCAGUACCUCCCCCUUCAAUACAGUCUUUUCUUUCCAAAUUUGAAAUGUAGUACUUGUACGGCUUUGUCAUUUCAUUAAAUUUUGAUUGUCAGUGGUCACUUUUGAUGUCAACCAAACUACCCCUACUACCCAUGCUACCACCCAGUGUCACAAAUCGAUCGAUCUGGACGACAGAAUUGCUACAAAUACCCCAGUGCAAUGCUCAGAAUUGAGCGAAUAAAGUUGACAUAAGGUAAAAGCCAGAACGUCGCGGUGGCAAAUAAUUUAAGGGAAGAUAUAGGACGGCUUCUUUCAAAAAAGGAAAAAUUCAUUUUUUACCAGUCAGCCAUCUGGAAAUGCCACUGAAGGAUUUAAAACAAGCAAAGCAUAUUCUGACAAUUUGAUAGAGACAUUCCUUUUCUUUGGUCAACGUAAUACCGUAUCUUACUCUAGCCCAGUGUUGGUAUCGGAUGAAAUUUAGCUGGCAGCAUUUUCGUUUUCGUGAAAUCUACUGAAUAAGCACUGAAUACCCAUUCCACAUGUUGACAAGGCCAGGAAUCAAUCCUGGGCCGCAAAAGUAAAAGCGGAGGAAGACACUUUGUGUUAUUGUAUAACGUGCACG